GGAUCAAUUGAUUGGUCAUGCCUUGGUAUGUACUGUUCACAUUGGUUCUCACCUUCUAAUGAACCAUAAUGUCAUUUAUUUGAUGCUAUGGGGAAUUAGGACUGUUACCUUGAAAAAAUUAGAGUGUUUAAAGCAAGUGAAUAACAGCCUGAAUACAUUAGCAUGGAAUAAUAGAAUAGG
This 180-nucleotide ribosomal RNA is filed under the name uncultured Glomeromycotina. RNAcentral describes it as "partial small subunit ribosomal RNA". Lineage: Eukaryota; Fungi; Glomeromycota. The record is from RNAcentral.